Molecule: ribosomal RNA, 506 nt
Filed under: uncultured bacterium
Lineage: Bacteria
Description: partial 16S ribosomal RNA
Rfam family: Bacterial small subunit ribosomal RNA
Source: RNAcentral
GAUGAACGCUAGCUACAGGCUUAACACAUGCAAGUCGAGGGGUAACAAGAGGAAAGCUUGCUUUUCUUGUUGACGACCGGCGCACGGGUGAGUAACGCGUGUCCAACCUGCCUAUAACUAGGGAAUAACCUUGUGAAAGUAAGACUAAUACCCUAUGAUUUCCUUUGUUGACAUCAAAUUAGGUACAAAGAUUUAUCGGUUAUAGAUAGGGAUGCGUCUGAUUAGCUUGUUGGCGGGGUAACGGCCCACCAAGGCAACGAUCAGUAGGGGUUCUGAGAGGAAGGUCCCCCACAUUGGAACUGAGACACGGUCCAAACUCCUACGGGAGGCAGCAGUGAGGAAUAUUGGUCAAUGGGCGGAAGCCUGAACCAGCCAAGUAGCGUGCAGGAUGACGGCCCUAUGGGUUGUAAACUGCUUUUAUACAGGAAUAAAGUUAGCCACGUGUGGUUAUUUGUAGGUACUGUAUGAAUAAGGACCGGCUAAUUCCGUGCCAGCCGCCGCAGUAA